GUGUACUUGGACCCCUGCCAUAUACAUAAGCAGCAAUCUCUCCAGAUUUUGUAUAUAGAUGUUCGGGCUUGGGUGCCAACGGCUAUUGGCAAAACUGGCCCGUUAUGAUUAGUUCACUCCGUGCCAUAUUAUUCUAAGUUAUCCAAGCUUGGAACGAGCUAGUGGCACCUGGAAGUUCUGAUCACCAGGGCUCCAAAAGAUGGGUUUUGGGACUAUUUCACAUCAUUCACAAACGUUCAUUGGCAGCCUUGACUUUCAAGAGGCCUAUGCUCAUCCUCGCAUUGCAUGCCACAGUGAUGCUUUCCCAUACUAUUAGUAUGUUCUGAAGUUUUGACAAAAGCUGAUU
RNAcentral lists this small RNA (346 nucleotides) under Histoplasma capsulatum. RNAcentral describes it as "hypothetical RNA". The record is from RNAcentral. Lineage: Eukaryota; Fungi; Ascomycota; Eurotiomycetes; Onygenales; Ajellomycetaceae. RNAcentral also lists the same sequence under 1 other name.